Molecule: ribosomal RNA, 433 nt
Filed under: uncultured bacterium
Lineage: Bacteria
Description: partial 16S ribosomal RNA
Rfam family: Bacterial small subunit ribosomal RNA
Source: RNAcentral
AACGAACGCUGGCGGCAUGCCUAACACAUGCAAGUCGAACGAGACCUUCGGGUCUAGUGGCGCACGGGUGCGUAACGCGUGGGAACCUGCCCUUAGGUUCGGAAUAACUCCCCGAAAGGGGUGCUAAUACCGGAUAAUGUCUUCGGACCACAGAUUUAUCGCCUUUGGAUGGGCCCGCGUUGGAUUAGCUAGUUGGUAGGGUAAAAGCCUACCAAGGCGACGAUCCAUAGCUGGUCUGAGAGGAUGAUCAGACACACUGGGACUGAGACACGGCCCAGACUCCUACGGGAGGCAGCAGUGGGGAAUAUUGGACAAUGGGCGAAAGCCUGAUCCAGCAAUGCCGCGUGAGUGAUGAAGGCCUUAGGGUUGUAAAGCUCUUUUACCCGGGAUGAUAAUGACAGUACCGGGAGAAUAAGCUCCGGCUAACUCCGUG